This 212-nucleotide ribosomal RNA is filed under the name uncultured bacterium. Its description in RNAcentral is "partial 16S ribosomal RNA". It matches the Rfam family "Bacterial small subunit ribosomal RNA", at positions 1289 to 1500 of the family's 1533-position model. The record is from RNAcentral.
CAGUUCGGAUUGUAGUCUGCAACCCGACUACAUGAAGCUGGAAUCGCUAGUAAUCGCGGAUCAGAAUGCCGCGGUGAAUACGUUCCCGGGUCUUGUACACACCGCCCGUCACACCAUGGGAGUCGGAAAUGCCCGAAGUCAGUGACCCAACCGUAAGGAGGGAGCUGCCGAAGGUGGAGCCGGUAACUGGGGUGAAGUCGUAACAAGGUAUC